UACAGAGGGGGCAAGCGUUGUUCGGAAUUACUGGGCGUAAAGGGCGCGUAGGCGGCCUGCUAAGUCGAACGUGAAAUCCCCGGGCUCAACCCGGGAACUGCGUCCGAUACUGGCAGGCUUGAAUCCGGGAGAGGGAUGCGGAAUUCCAGGUGUAGCGGUGAAAUGCGUAGAUAUCUGGAGGGACACCGGUGGCGAAGGCGGCAUCCUGGACCGGCAUUGACGCUGAGGCGCGAAAGCCAGGGGAGCAAACGGG
RNAcentral lists this ribosomal RNA (253 nucleotides) under uncultured bacterium. Its description in RNAcentral is "partial 16S ribosomal RNA". It matches the Rfam family "Bacterial small subunit ribosomal RNA", at positions 524 to 776 of the family's 1533-position model. The record is from RNAcentral.